GACGAACGCUGGCGGCGUGCUUAACACAUGCAAGUCGAACGGAAAGGCCCUGCUUUUGUGGGGUGCUCGAGUGGCGAACGGGUGAGUAACACGUGAGUAACCUGCCCUUGACUUUGGGAUAACUUCAGGAAACUGGGGCUAAUACCGGAUAGGAGCUCCUGCUGCAUGGUGGGGUUGGAAAGUUUCGGCGGUUGGGGAUGGACUCGCGGCUUAUCAGCUUGUUGGUGGGGUAGUGGCUUACCAAGGCUUUGACGGGUAGCCGGCCUGAGAGGGUGACCGGCCACAUUGGGACUGAGAUACGGCCCAGACUCCUACGGGAGGCAGCAGUGGGGAAUAUUGCACAAUGGGCGGAAGCCUGAUGCAGCAACGCCGCGUGCGGGAUGACGGCCUUCGGGUUGUAAACCGCUUUCGCCUGUGACGAAGCGUGAGUGACGGUAAUGGGUAAAGAAGCACCGGCUAACUACGUG
This 467-nucleotide ribosomal RNA is filed under the name uncultured bacterium. RNAcentral describes it as "partial 16S ribosomal RNA". It matches the Rfam family "Bacterial small subunit ribosomal RNA", at positions 28 to 507 of the family's 1533-position model. The record is from RNAcentral.